AGAGAUUGUUGGUGAGAAAUGGAGAAAAGGGGAUAUGGAGAGGGGAGAGGUUGUUUUGGGUUCUGGUAGAUGGCGAAAAGGGGAAUUUGCCAGAGAUAAGAUUGAGAAAGGAGAGUUCGUUCCAGAUAGAUGGCAUAAUAAAGACGAUUACUGUUAUAAUAAGUCCCGUGGCAGGUAUGACACCAGCAGAGAGCGUACCCCAUCUUCUGGAAAUUAUUCCAGUGAAGACAUUUACAGA
This 238-nucleotide unclassified non-coding RNA is filed under the name Hevea brasiliensis (rubber tree). The record is from RNAcentral. Lineage: Eukaryota; Viridiplantae; Streptophyta; Magnoliopsida; Malpighiales; Euphorbiaceae.